Molecule: unclassified non-coding RNA, 320 nt
Organism: Colobus angolensis palliatus
Lineage: Eukaryota; Metazoa; Chordata; Mammalia; Primates; Cercopithecidae
Gene: 7SK
Rfam family: 7SK RNA
About the family: 7SK was discovered as an abundant small nuclear RNA in the mid-70s but a possible function has only recently been suggested. Two independent studies have found that 7SK RNA binds the CDK9/cyclin T complex (known as elongation factor P-TEFb). P-TEFb activates transcription by phosphorylating the C-terminal domain of RNA polymerase II.
Source: Ensembl
AGACAUGAGAGCAAUGUGGCUGUAACAUCUGUCACCCCAUUGAUCGCCAGCAUUGAUUCAGCUGAUCUGGCUGGCUAGACUGGUGUUCCCCUUCCUGCCUCACCCCUCCACGUGCGUCCCUCCCAAAGCUGCAGGCUUGGUCAAAGAGGACAAGCAUCCCCAACAGAGGAGGACCGGUCUUUGGUCAAGGGUAUGUUAGUAGCUGCACUGCCCUGCCAGAACCUCCAAACAAGCUCUCAAGAAUACACACAUAAACAAUUAGUAUAGACAGUUGCUAUUAAAUUCAUAAGUUCUAUAAUCAUAAGGUUUUUAUUUUUUAU